GAUGAACGCUGGCGGCGUGCCUAAUACAUGCAAGUCGAGCGAACAGACGAGAAGCUUGCUUCUCUGACGUUAGCGGCGGACGGGUGAGACACACGUGGAUAACCUACCUAUAAGACUGGGAUAACUUCGGGACACCGGCGCUUAUACCGGAUAAUAUCUUGAACCGCAUGGUUCAAUAGUGAAAGACGGUCUUGCUGUAACUUCUAGCUGGAUCCGCGCUGCAUUAGCUAGUUGGUAAGGUAACGGCUUACCAAGGCAACGAUGCAUAGCCGACCUGAGAGGGUGAUCGGCCACACUGGAACGGAGACACGGUCCAGAGGCCUACGGGAGGCAGCAGUAUGGAAUCUGCCGCAAUAGGCGAAAGCCUUACAGAGCAACGCCACGUGAGUGGUGAAGGUCUUCGGAUCGUAAAACUCUGUUAUUAGGGAAGAACAGAUGUGUAAGUAACUGUGCACAGCUUGACGGUACCUAGUCAGAAAGCCACGGCUAACUACGUG
Molecule: ribosomal RNA, 497 nt
Filed under: uncultured bacterium
Lineage: Bacteria
Description: partial 16S ribosomal RNA
Rfam family: Bacterial small subunit ribosomal RNA
Source: RNAcentral